GGGGUUGUGGCUCAGUGAUAGAGUGCUUGUCUAGAACACGGGAGGCACUGAGUUCAAACCUCAGCACCACA
RNAcentral lists this transfer RNA (71 nucleotides) under Marmota monax (woodchuck). RNAcentral's name for it is "tRNA.Ser". It matches the Rfam family "tRNA". Rfam says of the family: Transfer RNA (tRNA) molecules are approximately 80 nucleotides in length. The record is from RNAcentral. Lineage: Eukaryota; Metazoa; Chordata; Mammalia; Rodentia; Sciuridae.